RNAcentral lists this ribosomal RNA (1363 nucleotides) under Lactiplantibacillus plantarum. Its description in RNAcentral is "bacterial SSU rRNA". It matches the Rfam family "Bacterial small subunit ribosomal RNA", at positions 68 to 1420 of the family's 1533-position model. The record is from RNAcentral. Lineage: Bacteria; Bacillati; Bacillota; Bacilli; Lactobacillales; Lactobacillaceae.
UGCAUCAUGAUUUACAUUUGAGUGAGUGGCGAACUGGUGAGUAACACGUGGGAAACCUGCCCAGAAGCGGGGGAUAACACCUGGAAACAGAUGCUAAUACCGCAUAACAACUUGGACCGCAUGGUCCGAGUUUGAAAGAUGGCUUCGGCUAUCACUUUUGGAUGGUCCCGCGGCGUAUUAGCUAGAUGGUGGGGUAACGGCUCACCAUGGCAAUGAUACGUAGCCGACCUGAGAGGGUAAUCGGCCACAUUGGGACUGAGACACGGCCCAAACUCCUACGGGAGGCAGCAGUAGGGAAUCUUCCACAAUGGACGAAAGUCUGAUGGAGCAACGCCGCGUGAGUGAAGAAGGGUUUCGGCUCGUAAAACUCUGUUGUUAAAGAAGAACAUAUCUGAGAGUAACUGUUCAGGUAUUGACGGUAUUUAACCAGAAAGCCACGGCUAACUACGUGCCAGCAGCCGCGGUAAUACGUAGGUGGCAAGCGUUGUCCGGAUUUAUUGGGCGUAAAGCGAGCGCAGGCGGUUUUUUAAGUCUGAUGUGAAAGCCUUCGGCUCAACCGAAGAAGUGCAUCGGAAACUGGGAAACUUGAGUGCAGAAGAGGACAGUGGAACUCCAUGUGUAGCGGUGAAAUGCGUAGAUAUAUGGAAGAACACCAGUGGCGAAGGCGGCUGUCUGGUCUGUAACUGACGCUGAGGCUCGAAAGUAUGGGUAGCAAACAGGAUUAGAUACCCUGGUAGUCCAUACCGUAAACGAUGAAUGCUAAGUGUUGGAGGGUUUCCGCCCUUCAGUGCUGCAGCUAACGCAUUAAGCAUUCCGCCUGGGGAGUACGGCCGCAAGGCUGAAACUCAAAGGAAUUGACGGGGGCCCGCACAAGCGGUGGAGCAUGUGGUUUAAUUCGAAGCUACGCGAAGAACCUUACCAGGUCUUGACAUACUAUGCAAAUCUAAGAGAUUAGACGUUCCCUUCGGGGACAUGGAUACAGGUGGUGCAUGGUUGUCGUCAGCUCGUGUCGUGAGAUGUUGGGUUAAGUCCCGCAACGAGCGCAACCCUUAUUAUCAGUUGCCAGCAUUAAGUUGGGCACUCUGGUGAGACUGCCGGUGACAAACCGGAGGAAGGUGGGGAUGACGUCAAAUCAUCAUGCCCCUUAUGACCUGGGCUACACACGUGCUACAAUGGAUGGUACAACGAGUUGCGAACUCGCGAGAGUAAGCUAAUCUCUUAAAGCCAUUCUCAGUUCGGAUUGUAGGCUGCAACUCGCCUACAUGAAGUCGGAAUCGCUAGUAAUCGCGGAUCAGCAUGCCGCGGUGAAUACGUUCCCGGGCCUUGUACACACCGCCCGUCACACCAUGAGAGUUUGUAACAC